This 558-nucleotide long non-coding RNA is filed under the name Monodelphis domestica (gray short-tailed opossum). Its description in RNAcentral is "lncRNA (ENSMODG00000044130.1)". The record is from RNAcentral. Lineage: Eukaryota; Metazoa; Chordata; Mammalia; Didelphimorphia; Didelphidae.
AUGCAAGCUGAGAGGGGCUACAGCCUCGGGGGAGGAGAAGCUUUAGAGAGAGAGACAGAGAGAUUCCUAGAGCAGACUGAAGAUUCAAGAGACAAUUCAUGGGGCCUCCUUGUAUUUAUUUCCGCCUGUUUAGGGAAGUAUUCUCAAGCGCGGAGCGAUCACGUUACAAGGUAUAGACAAUUCAGAUUGGAUGGUAAGGUUCUCAGGUUCACAGACUUAGAGCUGGAAGGGAUAUUAGAGAUCAUCUGGUUCAAGUCUUCAUUGUACAGAGGAUGGAACUUGGACACAAAGAAGUUGAUUUGUCUAAGCUUUCAUGGACAGGUUAUCGUAAUGAUCAAAAAUCCUAGAUGCAAAAGGUGAUCCUUGUGGAACAAACUCUUUGCCUAUUUAAAGGAUGAAGUUGGUGAUCAAUGACACAUGUAAACCCAGUGGAAUUGCACAUCAGUUGUGAGAGGGGGUUGGAGGGAGGGAAGGGAAAGAGCAUGAAUCUUGUAACCAAAAUUACUCUAAAUUGUCUAAUUAAAUAAAAUUUAAAAAAAAUAAAGGAUGAAGUUGGCC